RNAcentral lists this ribosomal RNA (336 nucleotides) under Triticum aestivum (bread wheat). RNAcentral's name for it is "partial small subunit ribosomal RNA". The record is from RNAcentral. Lineage: Eukaryota; Viridiplantae; Streptophyta; Magnoliopsida; Poales; Poaceae.
AUGAAUCUAUUAAGCUGGAACCGCCGGGGUUUAGGCAAUGCCCCGACAGUUCAAGAAUUGCACGAACUCGUGUUAAAGUUUGCCCCUAGAGUACUCUGUAUUUUGGAAACGCAAAUUAGCCAAGAGAGAGCUGAAAGCUUAGCAAGUACUCUAGGAUAUGAUUGUUCUUUUGUUGUUGGUUCCACCGGUCGAAGCGGUUGCUUAGUUUUGUACUGGAAUAAUGAAAUAAAAGUUGAAAAUUUGGGUUACUCGCAGUAUCACAUUUAUGUCAAUGUGUUGGAUCUGGGGGGGCGUGGAGGCUCUCGUGUUUCUAUGGAGAAGCCCAGACACACCUAA